Molecule: long non-coding RNA, 772 nt
Organism: Cavia porcellus (domestic guinea pig)
Lineage: Eukaryota; Metazoa; Chordata; Mammalia; Rodentia; Caviidae
Exons: 2
Source: RefSeq, a predicted model, not a curated record
UUCUGACAGUCUUCAGGGGAUGCUGUCGCUACUGGGCCCGCGAGCCCAGGCAGUGACUGAUGUAGGGGCUGGCUGCUGAUCCUGUCGUGGUCAAUGAGAUGUGAGAGCCCCUUCCACUGCCAAGAAAGACAUGCCGCACUCCUCUGAAAUACUGGCACAAGAACAUCCUGCCUGGCACAUUGGCUGCCACCUACAAUUCAGAAGAUGAUGAGCGCCAUGAAAGACCAGAACACGGAGGACAGUGGAGAGGAAGCAUGGACCUGCAUGAAUUGCUAGUUGUGCUGCCUACUUCCAGAUGGCUUAAGUAAAGCACAUAUGUGUAUCAUAGUUUUAAGCCACUGCAGUUACAGUUACUUAUAGCUCAAUGCACUGUUACUCAAACAAAUACUUGGCCUUCUUUCAUAUAAAAACUCAUUCCAAACUCCAGGCAAAAAUAUCUACAACAUCCACUUCCAUAAGCUUUUGAUAUGUAAUAAUAGCCCACACUCUGAAUAAGUUCAUUUAGGCUGUCAAGUUCUCAAGUAGAUGGUGACUAUAGGAAAAAGAUGUGAUUAGCUUUAAGGUCUUAUGCAAAUAAUCACUGUUUAUUGUCUCUAGUAGAGGCAAUUUGUGAAUCACCCAGGAGGAUCCCAAAAGAAACAGAAAGAAAAGAGAAAAAAUUAUGCUAUAACUUGGGAUAGUGACCUCAAUCAAGUGUAGUAAACAAAAAAAUGUAGCAAGACUAUCCACAUAAUUUACUUAGAGGGAAUAAAUUUGAUUGGUUAACAAAGUG